Molecule: long non-coding RNA, 663 nt
Organism: Neofelis nebulosa (Clouded leopard)
Lineage: Eukaryota; Metazoa; Chordata; Mammalia; Carnivora; Felidae
Exons: 3
Source: RefSeq, a predicted model, not a curated record
CAUAACAACAAAAACAUCCCGACCGCCUUCCGCCAGGCAGCUCGUCGCAGAGCCAUACUUCUUAGCUGCAGCCACAGCCAAGGAACUGUGGACCGAAACAAAGGCGGAGAUUUGACUGAGUCAGAUUUUCCUAGUGGGAACUCCUUUCUUGGCAGCCGGGCCCGGGCCCGGCUCUCGUGUGGCGGGGUCCCAGCGUUCCGCUCCCAGCCUCGCAACGCCUCUUCCAAGAUAGCUGAGCUGAUUCCAAAGGCCUGUGACCGUGUUCUGGGGAGAAACACACAUCUUCACAUGGCUGACUUCUCAUCAGGUCUCAAGUCAAACGUUACGAGUCUUGCCCCGACCACUUAACUGAGGUGCUCCAACCCCAAAACUGGUCUCUAGCCCAUCUUCAAGCACUCGUCGCUCUCCAAAGAGGAGGAAGCAAGAUGGCGCCCGGAGUAGGUAAGAUGUCUUCCUGGAGGAGUUAGAGGUGACGCUGAUCUCAAAGGAAGGAGACCCUGGAGAAGAGCAGCAGGGACGCUCACGAGGCGCUCACCAAACGGCUGCUUUUUGAGCACCUACUGUGUGCCAGGCAGGAGACUCCAACAGGCCGAACCCCUGCCCUCAUGGAGCCUGUUCUCAAAGCACAGCCGCCUCUGCCUGGGGCCGACCCUGCCCGCAACG